Molecule: microRNA precursor, 229 nt
Filed under: Rehmannia glutinosa
Lineage: Eukaryota; Viridiplantae; Streptophyta; Magnoliopsida; Lamiales; Orobanchaceae
Description: miR7798 stem-loop (rgl-MIR7798)
Source: miRBase by way of RNAcentral
UAAGGGAGUGUUUGCAAAAACUUAUGCUUUCAGAUGAAGUGAUUAUCGUAGCAGAUGCGAAAAGUUGUUGAGAAUCAGAAAACCUAAAGCACAUCUCCCCUGCUUUUAGGUUCUACUUAAAUUAUAUAAAUUAGAAGCAAAAAUUGGCAUUUGAAAACACUAUAAACUUCUUUUUUUCAGCCAAAAGCUGAUAAUCACUUUCUUCGAAUAUUUGCAAACACUCCCUUAG